This 443-nucleotide ribosomal RNA is filed under the name uncultured bacterium. RNAcentral describes it as "partial 16S ribosomal RNA". It matches the Rfam family "Bacterial small subunit ribosomal RNA", at positions 338 to 795 of the family's 1533-position model. The record is from RNAcentral.
ACUACGGGUGGCAGCAGUGGGGAAUAUUGGGCAAUGGGCGCAAGCCUGACCCAGCAACGCCGCGUGAAGGAAGAAGGCUUUCGGGUUGUAAACUUCUUUUCUCAGGGACGAAGAAAGUGACGGUACCUGAGGAAUAAGCCACGGCUAACUACGUGCCAGCAGCCGCGGUAAUACGUAGUUGGCAAGCGUUAUCCGGAUUUAUUGGGUGGAAAGGGCGUGUAGGCGGGAGCGAAAGUCAGAUGUGAAAACUCAGGGCUCAACCCUGAGCCUGCAUUUGAAACUGUGUUUCUUGAGUGCUGGAGAGGCAAUCGGAAUUCCGUGUGUAGCGGUGAAAUGCGUAGAUAUACGGAGGAACACCAGUGGCGAAGGCGGAUUGCUGGACAGUAACUGACGCUGAGGCGCGAAAGCGUGGGGAGCAAACAGGAUUAGAUACCCGGGUAGUC